GGUCACGUAGCCAAGUGGUCCAAGGCGGCAGUUUGCAAAACUGUUAUUCGUGGGUUCGACUCCCACCGUGACCUCCA
RNAcentral lists this transfer RNA (77 nucleotides) under Candidatus Kuenenbacteria bacterium CG1_02_38_13. RNAcentral describes it as "tRNA-Cys". It matches the Rfam family "tRNA". From Rfam's summary of the family: Transfer RNA (tRNA) molecules are approximately 80 nucleotides in length. Their secondary structure includes four short double-helical elements and three loops (D, anti-codon, and T loops). RNAcentral also lists the same sequence under 2 other names. Lineage: Bacteria; Candidatus Kueneniibacteriota. The record is from RNAcentral.